AUCGCAAAAAGAUAUCUGGAUUUGUUGUAGAUAUACCAUUAACUGAUCCGUAGAAAUCCAUAUGUAUCAUCUGAAGCGGCUCAGUAAUGUUGAUCAUAUCUUUGCUUCUUUGUGAUGCUCCUUCGACUUCCCUAUUGACAUACCUCAUAAGCUUCAUCCAUAUAGAAUCCCAGAUGAGGUAGUCCUCUCACCAAUUCUCUUCUUACGAAUAAAAAGAGCUCCUUGUUUUGACAUACAAGUGUGAGAGCUUCAUGUUCCAUAGCUAACACUCAUCCGAUGAAGCUUUACUAUCGAAAUAGCUCACUUCAUCUUCAGUUGAAGUUCCAUAUUAGCUACGAGCAAAUUCACAUCUUUCCUGAUUUGAGA
This 366-nucleotide long non-coding RNA is filed under the name Daucus carota (carrot). RNAcentral's name for it is "long non-coding RNA (DCAR_LNC002372)". Lineage: Eukaryota; Viridiplantae; Streptophyta; Magnoliopsida; Apiales; Apiaceae. The record is from RNAcentral.